CCCCAAAUCCGCCAUGGCAACCGCGAGAGCUCGACCAGAUUGGUGAAAUCCGGCAGCGGCAGCCUAGGGGUGGGACGCGGCUUCGGCGGCGGCCCGGGGCUGAGCUGGUGGUGGCGCGGACCGGGGGUUGGGGUUGGAUGUGGCAGCGGUGACGGAUUCGGGGUUGGAGGGGAGCAACGAGAUUUUACUCGGCCGCCUCGAGUCCGAGUAUUUUUACUCCUCCGCGGGCCGAGUACUAAACUUUUUACUCCUUUAACCGGUCUAAGGCCAGAGAUGCCCUGAGUUAUGCAGGUCCAUUUCGGCCCACCCCAGCCCACCCCAGCCCGCGGAAAGAGUUCCAACUCGCCGGUGAAGAUGGCGGCGCGGCCGACGGCAGCAGCGCGGUCGCCGUCCGGCCCAGAGCAUCACUAUACGAUGUUAGUCGCUUGCUAGAAACCCGGGUUAGCAGCUGUGCAGACACUGCACCGGCGAUAGCAACUAAUGGUAGUGACGUUAGCAUGACAAGAGUCAGGAGCCAGCCUUUUGUGAAUGCUAUGAUAAAACCCCCAAAGAAGGCAGAUAUGGCUUGUACAAGCUUCCCUCCCUGUAAAUCAGAAUGCAGGAAUGUCAACACUUGUAGCGCUGGAUGGGCUGCAUAGAAUGUUUGAAGUAUGAAAUACACUUAGGUGAGUAACACAAAAGCUUAUGUAGUAGCAAUAGAAAUAUUGAUGCUUGUCAUUGACUUGCACCUGCAGAUCUGCGCACACUUGCAGUGUGAUGAAAAAUAUUAUGUUUCCUUAUUUAGUACGUACUACAGAGGAAGUAUUACCUUCUCACCAAGAGCAUCUUGAAUUAUGACCGUAUCGCUAGACAUUCUAGAAACUGCUUCACCAGUUGUCAUUUCUAUGUCGAAAAAUGCAAUAUCUUGCCUCAGAACUGAUUUCAGGUACAAAGAACGGAUGCGGGCUGACUGCCUUUCUCCUGACAUUGUCCAGCAUGACAUCUCUGGAAGAUAAUGAAGGGUAUAGUUGUUAGCGAUGAUGCAGAGACCGAGGGUUAAACUUCCUCUUCGAAAAAGAAAAAGAAAAACAAUCCUCUGUGGUUAAGUCUAUUUGAAAGUGUGACAGGAAACAUGUAUUCCAAUAAUAGAAUGGGAACUGCACUUACGAAGAAAGGAAGCAACUGCUAUCCCAAUGCCCAAAUAUACGAAGUUGAGAACAACCUGGAGAUCAAAAGAACAUUCUCUGUUAACUCGUCUAGCCAAUCUUCAGGUUAAGUGAUCUGAUCACCGUAAGCUGCAGCGCACCUUGGUGACAGCGGGGAGGACGGUGCUGGUGGUGCUCUCCCCGAAGGAGUUGAUGGCGUCUCCAAAGACGACCAACAUGAGGGACCCCGCCACGCCGUUGCCCACCGCCCCCAGCGAGCCGACCACCAUGAGCGGCACGUCGAGGCUGUCGGCGUACCUGAACAUGCCGAGCAACGACACCUUCUUCUCCGUCUGGUCAUCUUUUUCUUGCUCGCCGCCGUGGCGUGCUCCUUCUCCGCUGCGAGCUUCUGCUGUCGCGUCCAUUUCCUGGCAGCUACAGCUUGCGCUGCUGGUGUGCUCGACGAGCCCAGCCUGCACCGUGCCGUGUGUAGUUCCUGUCCCUGGAGGUGGAGGAGGCACUGUAUAUAAGCAUUUCGCCGGCAGCCCAGAGCCCUCAGAGUGCUUUGACUCUUCUUGGGCUGAUUGGGUGCUCCGAAGCAGAGGAAGGGCCCGGGAAAGUUUGCCAUGGAAAAGUACUUUUGUGCGCACGGAUUUAUGGAUUCUUGCAUGUGGGUUUGCACGGAUUUAUCGUUGGCAUGUGGUGAUUUGCUGUGACAAUUCAAGAUUCACAGCCUACUUUUGUGCGCAGCGUCAGCGUAGUCACUAGUUGGUCAAAUGGAUUGACCAGUAUUGUUUCUAGAAAGGAAAAAAAGGUGCGCUAAGAUGGUCUCUGGUGGUCACCGGCACUUGUUUCUUUUUUUUAAGUUGACCAAUGUUUGUUUCUAGAAAGGAAACAAGGUGUCGACAGGUCGUAAGCUGAUACGGCCAUGGAAUGUGGAUA
Molecule: long non-coding RNA, 2066 nt
Organism: Triticum dicoccoides
Lineage: Eukaryota; Viridiplantae; Streptophyta; Magnoliopsida; Poales; Poaceae
Exons: 4
Source: RefSeq, a predicted model, not a curated record